UAUAAGAAAUUAAAAAAAAAA
Non-coding RNA from Caenorhabditis elegans, 21 nucleotides. NCBI's taxonomy places the organism in Eukaryota, Metazoa, Nematoda, Chromadorea, Rhabditida, Rhabditidae. The record is from Ensembl.